RNAcentral lists this long non-coding RNA (795 nucleotides) under Ananas comosus (pineapple). RNAcentral describes it as "long non-coding RNA (ACOM_LNC034501)". Lineage: Eukaryota; Viridiplantae; Streptophyta; Magnoliopsida; Poales; Bromeliaceae. The record is from RNAcentral.
ACGCAAACAAAAUAUAAACAAAUAUACAAAUAGCAGAAUAAAACAAAAGGGCAAUUGCUUAUAUAUCCUUGAAAAGAUCCUGAAUUUCUGAUUUACCCCUCUCAGAAGACUAACAUUGAAAAUAUCUUUUUUUUACAUUCCAAUCUAUUUCAAAUAUACCUCAUAGAGUUAAAUUAUGUUAAUAAACUGUUAGUAAUAGCUAUUAUCUGUAUGAAAUUAUUAUUUUACCAUUUCAAAUAUAUCCUUCUAGCAUGACCGACUUUUCUUAUUUGACCUUAAGGCUUGGUUUAGGAUUGCGGGGAGAUUGCUUUACGUGCGGUGAGAAAGUACGUUGAAAAAAUAUCCUGUUUGUUUCCGUAAGUAGUAAUAUUACAUUCCGCAUAUCGCGAUGAGUAGGUUAUGAUAUAUUUUCUACGGUUCCAUCGGAAAACGCAGAAAUAUAUCCCUAUAUGCUUUUUCCUCAGUUCAAUUUUAUCUAAUAGCGUUUGAUAGGCCUCAAUACCAAACUAAGCCUAAGUUAGGAGCACAAAAUGUAUUUUAAUUUUUAAUUUGUUUAAAUAUACCUUUCUACCAUUACCAAUAUUUCUUAUUUGUCCUUGACUUAAGGGCAAAAGGGGUAUUUUAAUUUUUUUUUAAUUAUAAUAUAUAUUUGACUCAUGUUUAAGUUAUGUUAACUUAACAAUUAGUAACUGUCGGGGUAUUAUGAAAUAAUGAAGGAACAUACUAUGGGUAUAUUAGAAAUAAAAAAAAAUAAAUGAGAUAUUUUUAAAGUUUUGAACGAUAUAUAAGCAAUUA